Molecule: ribosomal RNA, 254 nt
Filed under: uncultured bacterium
Lineage: Bacteria
Description: partial 16S ribosomal RNA
Rfam family: Bacterial small subunit ribosomal RNA
Source: RNAcentral
UACGGAGGGUGCAAGCGUUAUCCGGAAUCACUGGGUUUAAAGGGUGCGUAGGCGGUCUAAUAAGUCAGUCGUGAAAUCGCUGGGCUCAACCCAUGCAAUUGCGAUUGAUACUGCUAGACUUGAAUGGGGUUGAGGCUGGCGGAAUGCGACAUGUAGCGGUGAAAUGCUUAGAUAUGUCGCAGAACACCGAUUGCGAAGGCAGCCAGCUGGGCCUAUAUUGACGCUGAGGCACGAAAGCGUGGGGAGCAAACAGG